CACCUGAACUUUGUGUUUCCAAAUUCUUUUGGCCUAUGCCUAAGUUCCCUCCUUUUAAGGGAUUUGAUCAUCCUUUCCCUUUACCUCCACCUUUGGAGCUUCCACCGUUUCCUAAACCAUGCCCACCACCUCCGGUUCCGGUGUACGAGCCACCCCCAAAGGUGGAACUUCCACCACCUGUCCCGGUUCACGAGCCACCCCCAAAGGUAGAGGUUCCACCACCCGUCCCGGUUCACGACCCACCGCCAAAGGUGGAGCACCCACCUCCGGUUCCGGUUUACAAGCCACCUCCAAAGGUAGAGCACCCACCUCCAGUUCCGGUUUACAAGCCGCCUCCAAAGGUAGAGCACCCACCUCCGGUUCCGGUUUACAAGCCACCUCCAAAGGUAGAGCACCCACCUCCGGUUCCAGUACACAAGCCACCAACAAUCCCUAAGAAGCCAUGCCCGCCUAAGUCGCCGAAGAUUGAGCUUCCACCGCCAGUGCCAGUUCACAAACCACCGA
RNAcentral lists this long non-coding RNA (504 nucleotides) under Brassica rapa (field mustard). Its description in RNAcentral is "long non-coding RNA (BRAP_LNC006073)". The record is from RNAcentral. Lineage: Eukaryota; Viridiplantae; Streptophyta; Magnoliopsida; Brassicales; Brassicaceae.